AAUUCUAUAAUGAAACUCAAUAUUUAUUUAUUUUUCAUUUUAGCAUUACCAAAAUUUAUACAAAACCUUGUCCAAUCUUCUGUCACGCUAAACACAAUUAUUGUAAUCUAAUCUUGUUCAAUCACCAAACAUGAGAUAGCACUAAUGGUGCAUUUAUUAAUCGAUAAUUGGAAUGGACUAAAAUCAAAAUAAACUAGAAUAAGAAUAAGUUAAAAUCAUGAUGGGAAAUGAGAAUCAGAAUAAAUUAUUUACUUUAGCUGUAUGAAUUUAAAUUGAAAUUAACUGCAUUGUCAUUAAUGUGUUUACUUUGUAUUAGAAUCAGAACAGAUUGUUAUAAGUUACUAAAACGACCUUAAUGAAUUAUUGUCACAUUUAUUAUAAUAAUUAUGAGUAUGAUUAUUCAAAAUAAUUAUUGUUAAUAAUAAUGACGAUGAUGAUGAAAAUAAUAAUUAUAAUUUUCGACACUAAUAAUAAUGAUGAUUAUUAUUAUUAAAAUUAUUACUAAUUACUACUACUCCUAUUAUUAUUAUUAUUAUUAAAUGUACCUAUCAACCAAAAUUAUGGAUGGUAAAACACUGAGUCUGAGUAGGGUUUUGGUCUGCUAAGGACCGGCCCGAAUUGUUUUAACAAAUGUCCGAACCCAUGUUUAUGUCUGCUUCUUUCACACAUAGGCAGGGUCAAGCUCGGUACACCCUUGUUUACAGGUUAUUUAUUCGGGCUUCAGCUACUCAAAUAAGUUAAUUAAAAAUGUAUAAAUAUAAAUUAAAUUUUAGAUAAAUGAUAAAUAAAAAUUCUUUCAAUCUACUACCUAAAUUCAUUCAAUUUCAAUCCUAAAUUCAUUCAUUCAUUCAUUCACUCUUUGUCAGAAAUUUAAAUAAGCAGCAUAAAAAUCACAUUGACAAAUAAAUCUAAACAACGUGUCAUCUAAAUUCUAACAUAUCACAAGUUUAUAAUUGCAAUACCAAUUGCCAAUAUAACAUAUGGGAAUCCCAAAAUGUCUAACAACUAAUGACAGACUGUGAUGUGGAGGUGUGGAUGCUGAGAAGGUGGUUGCUGCACGAACAUGGUUGUGAUGUAAAGGUCCAGGGCAUGGUGCUAGAGGUACGGUGCUAGACAACUGGAGGUGCAUUGGUGUAGUGCAUUAUGGGUUGUGGUUGCUGGGCAUUGUCUUGGAGAGUUAGAGGUGGGUGGGGGUGGCGACUUAUGUGUUUUACUAAAGUUUUGGUUUUGUAAACAGGUAGUGUAUUAUUUAUGUUUCUUUAUUUUAGGUUUAUUUUAUUUUUUAAAUUUAUUUAAUAAAAAUUAAAAAAAUUUACUAGGCAUAGAUCUGAGUUCCUUUUUUUGGUUUAUGCUCAAACUCGUGCGCAAGAAGAGUUCAAUACCCAGAAUCAAAUUAUUUAUUAACACCGUGGUCCGAACCGAGCCGAGCGAGUUUUCUUGCCACUUUUAACCAAAACUUAUACAUUUAUACUGUUGAAAUUCUACUUUUAUAAAUAUAUAUGU
This 1503-nucleotide long non-coding RNA is filed under the name Citrus x clementina. RNAcentral describes it as "Citrus clementina (C. clementina) long non-coding RNA (CCLE_LNC006632)". The record is from RNAcentral. Lineage: Eukaryota; Viridiplantae; Streptophyta; Magnoliopsida; Sapindales; Rutaceae.